Molecule: ribosomal RNA, 508 nt
Filed under: uncultured bacterium
Lineage: Bacteria
Description: bacterial SSU rRNA
Rfam family: Bacterial small subunit ribosomal RNA
Source: RNAcentral
UAUGGCUCAGGAUGAACGCUAGCGACAGGCUUAACACAUGCAAGUCGAGGGGCAGCACGGGAGUAGCAAUACUUGGUGGCGACCGGCGCACGGGUGAGUAACGCGUAUGCAACCUACCUAUCAGAGGGGAAUAACCCGGCGAAAGUCGGACUAAUACCGCAUAAAACAGGGGCACCGCAUGGUGAUAUUUGUUAAAGAAAUUCGCUGAUAGAUGGGCAUGCGUUCCAUUAGGUAGUUGGUGAGGUAACGGCUCACCAAGCCGACGAUGGAUAGGGGAACUGAGAGGUUGGUCCCCCACACUGGUACUGAGACACGGACCAGACUCCUACGGGAGGCAGCAGUGAGGAAUAUUGGUCAAUGGGCGGGAGCCUGAACCAGCCAAGUCGCGUGAAAGGAAGAAGGAUCUAUGGUUCGUAAACUUCUUUUGCAGGGGAAUAAAGUGCAGGACGUGUCCUGUUUUGUAUGUACCCUGAGAAUAAGGAUCGGCUAACUCCGUGCCAGCAGCCGC